GGACAUAACCCUGGAGAGACCACUUAAAUGUGGCAUCAAAGGAGCAACUUUUUAAAGGAAACUUUCAGAUAAAAGGACAGGGAGUAAAAU
RNAcentral lists this non-coding RNA (90 nucleotides) under Clostridiales bacterium. Its description in RNAcentral is "Glycine sequence". It matches the Rfam family "Glycine riboswitch aptamer". From Rfam's summary of the family: This family represents the bacterial glycine riboswitch. Glycine riboswitches usually consist of two metabolite-binding aptamers domains with similar structures in tandem. The record is from RNAcentral. Lineage: Bacteria; Bacillati; Bacillota; Clostridia; Eubacteriales.